UCCCUGUUGCCAGGGCAGUCUAGCUAGAGAAAUUCAACUAACUAUAAGGGUUGCGCUCGUUGAUGGACUUAACCAAACAUCUCACGACACGAGCUGACGACGGCCAUGCAUCACCUGUCACUGCGGCCCGAAGGCACAGUCUCCUUUCGGAGUCUUUAGCAGGAUGUCAAGCCUGGGUAAGGUUCUUCGCUUACCAUCGAAUUAAACAACACGCUCCACCGCUUGUGCGGGUCCCCGUCAAUUCCUUUAUGUUUUAGUCUUGCGACCGUACUCCACAGGCGGGAUGCUUAACGCGUUAGCUGCGCUACUACAAGGGUCGAUACUCAUAACAGCUAGCAUCCAUCGUUUACGGCGUGGACUAC
This 362-nucleotide unclassified non-coding RNA is filed under the name uncultured bacterium. Its description in RNAcentral is "contains 16S-23S intergenic spacer region". The record is from RNAcentral.